RNAcentral lists this ribosomal RNA (261 nucleotides) under uncultured prokaryote. RNAcentral's name for it is "partial 16S ribosomal RNA". It matches the Rfam family "Bacterial small subunit ribosomal RNA", at positions 524 to 784 of the family's 1533-position model. The record is from RNAcentral.
UACGUAGGUGGCGAGCGUUGUCCGGAUUUACUGGGCGUAAAGGGAGCGUAGGCGGACUUUUAAGUGAGAUGUGAAAUACCCAGGCUCAACUUGGGUGCUGCAUUUCAAACUGGAAGUCUAGAGUGCAGGAGAGGAGAAUGGAAUUCCUAGUGCGGCGGUGAAAUGCGUAGAGAUUAGGAAGAACACCAGUGGCGAAGGCGAUUCUCUGGACUGUAACUGACGCUGAGGCUCGAAAGCGUGGGGAGCUAACAGGAUUAGAUA